UCCAGCAGGCUCUGGCUCAGCUGGUAGAGCAAUAGACUCUUAAUCUCGGGGCUGUGGGUUCGAGCCCCACUUUGGGGAA
Molecule: non-coding RNA, 79 nt
Organism: Podarcis lilfordi (Lilford's wall lizard)
Lineage: Eukaryota; Metazoa; Chordata; Lepidosauria; Squamata; Lacertidae
Source: the annotation of a GenBank genome assembly